GAAAAAACAAUUAACCGGAAGAUGUGUGUUUAAAAUGCAUGCUUUCUUUCGACAUAUGGUGAGAUACCAAUAAACUUCUUUGGAAAUAAGAAUCUCUAAAUUCCAAGGAUUUCAGUGUCCAUGUUAAAAAGCAACAGUAAGGCCCCAAGGCAUAUGGCAAUUUAGAGGCACUUACAUGAGGGGUUGAUAGUCUGGUCUGUGCACCAUUAUUUCCUGCUUGAUUUUAGACAUCUGCUGAGUGGAGCAGAAAGCUGUCAUAAACUCUGUGAUGGUCAGAGAAACCUGCCAUAGGAUAGU
This 297-nucleotide long non-coding RNA is filed under the name Bos taurus (domestic cattle). Its description in RNAcentral is "long non-coding RNA NONBTAT016510". The record is from RNAcentral. Lineage: Eukaryota; Metazoa; Chordata; Mammalia; Artiodactyla; Bovidae.